GCCUGUUGCGCCGUCCAGGCGGCAAGGCCGUGGCCUUACUGCCAGCUUGCCUCGCCAAACCGCUAGGGUCCUAUAGGCAGCGGGACUUUUCGGUGUGUCCCAGCGCCGGAGCGAACAGUGGGAUCGUCGUGCGAUGGAGGUAGUCAGAUGGAUUGUUCACCAGAGCUCACCUCUCGUUGGGGGCUUCACUAUGCCAGCGACCAGCCUUGUUCUCGCCUCUGCUAAUGGUGAGACCUCCCAUGGUUCUUCUUUGUUUUUUUUUACUUUGCUUAGCCUCUUAUCGAAGUACGGUUUGAACGCCGGGGUGUCCAGUUCGCUGAUGUCGCCGUAGGAGCACGAGGUGGAAGAAGACCUAGGAACCGUAGAUCAAAUAUCUGGGGCUGGGAUUGGUUGUGUGCAUGGAUAGUUUCUGGGCCGUUGAUCCGACGACGUCCGGUCUAGAUUAGAGUAUACUAUCCUUUUGUUCCGGACCGUUGAAUCUCAAUUGGGCGCCUCGGAUUAAAUCAACCACGAUCCCCCUUUUGUCGCAUUAAACCGGAGCCGCAGAUUUCCCGAUGAACGGUCCCGAUUUGCGCAUGAAUACCUCUUCGCGCGAUCGGAUCGGGGCCCUUGUUUUCUGAUCGGACGGCUCAGCCCGUCCGAUACCCCUUCGGCUAGUAAUCUUUAUGAAGAGCCCCUGUUCUUUUCUAGAUUUAACCCGCAGUCCAGAGAUCCUUUGUACUGAGUCAGGUAAACAUUGCGCUAGGGCCCCUGUAUUUUACAAAUUUUGAUGCCCAGUCCAGAGAAUUAGAAAAAUCCAUAAAAGUAAUUAGGAGAUGAAUUUUUAAUGUAAAAAUAAAUAAUAGAACUUGUUUAAUUCAUAUAAAAUUCUUAUUAAGUCAAAAUGAGUCCAUUCCAAUUCAUAUAAUUUUAUAAUAUUAUUUUUUAUCUACUAGUGUCUCUGUUUUGACAUGAAAAACAUAUUAAAAUUUGUCUCUUAAUUAAUCUUGUAUCAAACAAAUAAAAUCUUUGGAAAUUCAUAACUCCUCCAUUUUAAUUCCGAUUUGACUCGUUCCAGUUGCGUUAGUUUCGUAUAAGUAUUUAAUACGCAGUAACAACACUUAUUAUACCAUGUCUCAUUAUUUUAUAAUUGGAUCUGUAUUUAACUUAUGUUGGUUAGUCUUGUUAAUCUGCUCAUCUACUAAAACAUGAUCUAUGGUCAAUUCAUAAUUUAGAUUAAAGUUGAUAUAAUUAUUUAUAGUAUAACCUCUUAUAUAAUUUAUACUAACCAAUUUAUAAUAUAAUUUAAUAUUUUAAUCAUACAAAUCUUUUAUAAAAUCAUAACUUGAAGACCGUAACUCCGAUCUUAGUAGUUCUCGAUCCCGCGAUCUCGUAGCUUCGUGUAGAUUAUUAUUAUUCAGUUUGUUAUUAUGUUUGGUGUGAUGUUAAUUUUUAUCUAUACCAUGUUUGUUUGUAUUGCUACGUCUAGUGCGAGGUUUCAAGUCACCUGAAGUUCACCCUGGUAACUGGAUCUCAAGUGCCAGGCAAGUUGUGCCCUUGAUCACUUACUUUUCCCAGCCAUGUUCUUAUUAAUUUUAAUGAUCUGCAUAGGUUAAUUUUGAUGGGAUCCUUUAUGUACCCCAGUUUUGAUUACCUCUAUACCUUGUUCACCCCUGAAAUAUUUUUGGGUAGUACUUGCUAUUGCUUUAUGUGGAUUGGGUAUGGAGAUACACUACUCAUGAUUAUCCUGUUAUUAUCUUGUUAAUAUUACUGUUCAUGUUAAGAUCAUUAAAUUAAUGGGAACAUGGAGCGACCACCCGGGAAAACAGUGCUACCACAAGGGUUUAAUGGGACGCCCUUGGUUGAUUAACUAGGAAAGCUAGUGGAGGUCUUCCUUACCCAAAAGGGGCAAGGGCAGUAGGGGAGUGGUCAGUGUAGGGAGGUCCUUGGGUUGAUUUUGCUGCGAUGGCGGUCAGGUAAGAACCCUGCACUGGAGCUUCCUAUAAACUGUAGCGGGAUUUCUAAAACUAGUGGAACUUUGUAAAGGCCUCGUAGUGUUACCCUGCCUCGCCUCCUCGGUAGAGGUGUAUGGGAUUGGCCAUCUCUUGGCAGAUGGGUAACAUGACUUGUGGGUAAAGAUGCGCAACCUCUGCAGAGUGUAAAACUGGUAUACUAGCCGUGCUCACGGUCAUGAGCGGCUCGGACCCUCACAUGAUUAAUUAUGGAACUUAAAUUUAAUUUGACAUUUGCAUCGCAUUUGGGAUUAUUUUACUAUUACUGUUCUUUAUUAUUAUUAAGGUUUGGUAUUUACUUACACUUAGUAAGUGCUAAUAAAAUUUGACCAACUUAUAAAAGCAAUGCUCAGCUUCAGCCUCUAUUUCAUUGAUCAGCCUUACACUACAUGAUCUCCCGCCUUUGGUGAGUUCAUGCCACAUUAUUCCCCAUGACUUGUUGAGCUAUGAACGUAUGUGAGCUCACUCUUGCUGUCUCACACCCCCCCCCCACAGGAGAAGAACAGGUGGUCGAAGAGGAGCCGCCUAACGCAGAGGCAUUCGACUUGAUCUAGGUGGCGUUUCUCAGUUGACAUUGGCGCCAACGAUCCUUAGUUCGUUUUAUAUUUAUUCUUUUACUUUGUAAUAAGUCUUCCGCUGUGUAAUAAAUACUCUGAUGUUAUUAACAUUUAUCUCUAUACACUUUGUUAUUAUAUAUGUUGUCUUCUUGUCGCAUGUAUG
This 2711-nucleotide long non-coding RNA is filed under the name Zea mays. RNAcentral's name for it is "long non-coding RNA (ZMAY_LNC000050)". The record is from RNAcentral. Lineage: Eukaryota; Viridiplantae; Streptophyta; Magnoliopsida; Poales; Poaceae.